Molecule: long non-coding RNA, 348 nt
Organism: Pan paniscus (pygmy chimpanzee)
Lineage: Eukaryota; Metazoa; Chordata; Mammalia; Primates; Hominidae
Source: Ensembl
AAAUAAUCAUGAGGCCCAAAACACUUCCUGAAUGAAAGAGAACCUGCAUUGAAUUUUGUUCUGUGGUGAAUGUCAGGUGCUGGUAUUCCAGCAACACUCAGGCGGCUGCUCCAGGAGGCUGCAGAGGGGUCCUUUUUAGGCGUCAACAAAACUGGCUAUGGUCACGCCCAUUGGGAAACUCAUUGCUGCCUUCAAGGUGGAAGUUAAAGUCAUCACAGUUCUUUCAUGAAAGGAGAAAACUUCUACAUAGAAGAUGAGAAGCUUCUUUGGGGCAGAGACUAUAGUUAGUAUUUCUUUAGCACUGUUCAUAAUGUUAGGAUAGGAAUAAGCAGAGGUGGUAUGCAAUAG